GCUGGGCGUGGUGGUGCAUGCCUAUAAUUCCAGUGGCUCAGGAGGCUGAGGCAGGAGGAUCACGAGUUCCAAGCCAGCCUCAGCAAAAGUGAGGCACUGAGCAACUCAGUGAGCCCCUGUCUCUA
This 125-nucleotide small RNA is filed under the name Marmota monax (woodchuck). Lineage: Eukaryota; Metazoa; Chordata; Mammalia; Rodentia; Sciuridae. The record is from RNAcentral.